RNAcentral lists this microRNA precursor (77 nucleotides) under Gasterosteus aculeatus (three-spined stickleback). RNAcentral's name for it is "mir-92 microRNA precursor family". It matches the Rfam family "mir-92 microRNA precursor family". Rfam says of the family: This family represents the microRNA precursor mir-92. Lineage: Eukaryota; Metazoa; Chordata; Actinopteri; Perciformes; Gasterosteidae. The record is from Rfam by way of RNAcentral.
CUUCCUGUGCAGGUGGGGAUUAGUAGCAAUGCUGUGUACCAGAAGGUAUUGCACUUGUCCCGGCCUGUAUAGGAAAA